Long non-coding RNA from Clupea harengus (Atlantic herring), 2982 nucleotides. Lineage: Eukaryota; Metazoa; Chordata; Actinopteri; Clupeiformes; Clupeidae. The record is from Ensembl.
AAAGGAGAGACUGGAGGGUACUGACUGAGGUACACUUGAGAUGUGUGGGGUCCCAGAUAACCCUGAGCCAUUGAGAGUUGGUAUAUGACUCAUCACUUGACAUUUCUGAUAAAGGUGUAAAAUGUGACUGCGAGAUAGCUGUAACCGUCACACACACACACACACACACAGUCUCUCACUCAGGGGUCUGCUCUCGGAUUUGUUUCUCUCCUUCAGCUCCACACAGGAUGGGAGUCUACUGGACAGCUGUUCUCCUCUGCCAUCUUCUAGCCUCUUUAGUCCACUCACUGACAUGCAAUGAACGAAAACAGUACAAGUGGCCAGCCAGCUCUCCCACAAGGUGCUGCCAGAAAUGCGAACCAGGUGAGUUCAUGGAAAAAAGAUGCCAGGAUGGGUCCAUAGAAACUAAAUGCCAGGAGUGCAGCCCAGAUAUGUAUACAGAUGUUCCCAAUUUCCUCGCCCAAUGCAAGAUGUGCAAACCUUGCAGCAAAAACCAGGUGCAGAAGGCAGCUUGUUCGCGACUGCAGAACACUGUGUGUGACUGCAAGCAAGGAUAUAAAUGCACAGAUGCUGAAUGUUCAGAGUGUGAAAAGGAGGACCAUGACCAUGGCCAAGACCAAGUAACCACUACACAACAGCCCACAACUACAGAACGUAGAAAGACAACUGUCAACAAAGAGAGACAUGAGACAGUGCUUCUUCCAUUGGUGCUGAUAGUUUGUGUUUGCAUACUCCUCCUCAUCCUUGUCCAUAUGCGCAAAAGGCUGGACCCUCUCGGUUGGUGUACAUUUGAUGAUUUGUCAUCCUCAAAGGAUACACCACAGAGCACAGAACUAGAAGAGGCCGUGCCCAUACAAGAAGUAUGUUCAGACCUCCAGGAAGUAAAAGAUGGACUAGAGGGAGAAUUUUGUCUUGAACACAACCAUAUUUACUGACCUACAUUCAUUCAUUCACAUACACACACACACACACACACACAAACACAUACACACACACACAGACACACAAACAUUUACGCAACAUACCUCCUAUGCAAAUGAAAAACACAAUACACAAUACAUGCAUUUGUAAUUUGUAUUUUGUACAUUAUAGUUGCUAAAUGUUUUUCUAUAUUUUAUGUGUAUCUUGUAUCUGUAAUAUGAAGGAAAUGUAUUUAUUUUGUGACAUGGUCUUUAGAAUGUCAAGAAAUCUUUGACAUUUGCACAUCUAUGAAGAAGUUUUUUUUACCUUAGUACCUUUGCAUAUCAAUUUGAAACCAAGUAUAAAUGAACCAUACAGUAAUGGACAUUUCUGAAAUAACUUUUAGUAUAGUUACACUAUAUCAGGGCUAAAUCCCUUUGUGAUUUAAGAAAGUUUAAGGAAAGGCAAAAGGAUAUAUUGGCUUACCCAGGAUAGGUAUAGAACUAAUGGAAGGACUUUGUCAAGAGCAAUAAGAAAAGAGUGGCCGUAAGAAGUUGUGCCACAAAACACACAGUCCAUUUUAGAAGAAUGUGGAAAUUAUAUCCACAAAUGAACAUGUGAGGGUGGAAACCAUGGUAUAAGAGGGAUAAUACACUGUGGUGUUUGGGUACCUGAAAAUAGUUACACUUUACAUUGCACUUCUUAGCACUUGCAUUAUUUUCUGUUACUAUGCAGGUGCUGCUAUCCCAUACUUAAUAAAUAUACAAUACAUCAAUAAUGUAAAUAAUAAAUGAAAAGCGUCAACAAAAUGUCUGUGAUUAAUUUAUUGCACUUCCAUAUACAGGACAUAUGACAAGCAUUGCAACUUCCUUUGGUCCAUAGAGAAAAUCCUUUACUGGAAUGGACCCAUGACCAACCUGUGUCAGAUCAAUACUAGAUACAUUCCAGCCAGCUGUCUCUGUGGACUUAUGUGCACUUCUGUGAGACAGCACAGUCUGGCACUAGUGGCACUAAAAACAUAAAUAAAUAAAGCAACCUCCACUUACAAACGUUUGUUUCUUACAGGCAUAUUUAUGAGUUACAGUAACUCAGUACAGCCAUUAGUCUUACUGAUGCUUGUGUUAGGUGUUUUGACCUAAAGUUUAGAUCAACACCUACCACAACAUCAACAAAAACACAGGCCCUUCUGUAACAUUGUCCAGAAGCAUGUCCAUAGAGUGUCUCUUCAGGCAGCAGACACCUUCUGACACCUAACUUCUUACUUGCCCACAGCCAUUCUGUGCAAAUCUUUUUCUGGUGAUUGAAAUAUGCAGAAUUUGACCAAAAAGGUUGAGAAAAAAAAGGCAGUUUAAAAGAUACAGGGUGUGCGUUUUUCUAAAAUUAUGAGCACCAUGUUGAUGAAAGUUGUUCAAAUCUCUCUCUCUCUCUCUCCCAGUCAUUCCCUCUCUCUCUGUAUAUCUGUCUGUGUCGCUGUGGUUCUCUCUCUAUCUCUCUCUAUCUAUCUCUCUCCUCCCUUCUCACUUUGUUUCUCAGAGCUCUUCCUCUUUAGACACAUGGCUUUCUUUCCCUUGCUCCUGAAAGGGGACAGAGAUGUCUUCUCUGCUCCUUUCUUCCGUGGAUAGAGGUAUGGGAGAGGAGGGAGUGUGCACUUCACUUCCCUCAGGCUUCGGGUUACCAUGCUCUGCUCGUUCUUGCUCUUCCUCACUGCCUCCUCCUCUUCCUCCUCCAAAGCCAAACUGGUUCAGUAGGCUGACAAAGACAGUGCUUGGGUGGUGUAUGUAGAGAGGGCCUGAGAGAUGAACAGCAGAAUGACAGAGAAGAGAGAGAGAGAGAGAGAGAGAGAGAGAGAAAAGCAGAAUCACCAGACAGAGAAGAGAGAGACAGUAAGACAGACAGAGAAGAUGGUAAAACAAAGACAGUGAGGGGGAGAGAGAGACAGAGACAGAAAACAGACCAUAUAGAUUAUGUUUGUUUUAAAGACAUCACCUAGAGUUUCAGAUAUCUGGAUGAAACAUUUAAUUUCUCCUGAAACUUAUAGUUCUAUGACAACUAUGUUACCCUCACAAGUGCAAAGUUUCUGCC